GGCCGGUUAGCUUAGCGGUAGAGCACCUCGUUUACACCGAGGGGGUCGGCGGUUCGAUCCCGUCACCGGCUACCA
Molecule: transfer RNA, 75 nt
Filed under: Rhodospirillaceae bacterium
Lineage: Bacteria; Pseudomonadati; Pseudomonadota; Alphaproteobacteria; Rhodospirillales; Rhodospirillaceae
Description: tRNA-Val
Rfam family: tRNA
About the family: Transfer RNA (tRNA) molecules are approximately 80 nucleotides in length. Their secondary structure includes four short double-helical elements and three loops (D, anti-codon, and T loops). Further hydrogen bonds mediate the characteristic L-shaped molecular structure. tRNAs have two regions of fundamental functional importance: the anti-codon, which is responsible for specific mRNA codon recognition, and the 3' end, to which the tRNAs corresponding amino acid is attached (by aminoacyl-tRNA synthetases). tRNAs cope with the degeneracy of the genetic code in two manners: having more than one tRNA (with a specific anti-codon) for a particular amino acid; and 'wobble' base-pairing, i.e. permitting non-standard base-pairing at the 3rd anti-codon position.
Source: RNAcentral